This 469-nucleotide long non-coding RNA is filed under the name Equus caballus (horse). RNAcentral's name for it is "lncRNA (ENSECAG00000051486.1)". Lineage: Eukaryota; Metazoa; Chordata; Mammalia; Perissodactyla; Equidae. The record is from RNAcentral.
GAGCAUCAGCUGCCCAGCCUUAGCACUUUGAGAAACUGGGAAGUGCAGACAGCUUAAACUGGCGGAGUCCGAUCAGAUGAGGCAAGAGAGGGUGCAGCCUCAGGGACGGUGGGCAUUGAACUUCCAGUGGUUGGAAUACCUCCACUCCCAGUCUUGAUGGCUCCCUAGCAUUCCCAACCCUGGGGCUUACCGUGGCUAUAGAGGAAGAUUGCAAGCUAGCAUUUUCCAAGCGUUUUCUGCACACUGCCCCUGUGAGGACAUACUCCUCAGACUGAAUUCUGCAGAUUCACAAUGUGCGAGUUAGUUCAUCUAAGAUAACACCAAUAAAAGAAGAUACUGCUUAUAAGGACCCCAAAUGACACCCCAAGGAGGGAAUCUUGAACUGAAUAGGAGCCUGGCAGUUCAUCGAGAGCUGCUCAGCACAACGCUAAGCCCCUAAAAGGGGAGUAAAUUAUCUACUUGGAAAUCA